Long non-coding RNA from Piliocolobus tephrosceles (Ugandan red Colobus), 590 nucleotides. RefSeq lists it as uncharacterized. Lineage: Eukaryota; Metazoa; Chordata; Mammalia; Primates; Cercopithecidae. The transcript is spliced from 2 exons. The record is from RefSeq and is a predicted model, not a curated record.
GAACUUAAAUUCGGCAUAGCCUAAAACAAGCCCAAACUUCUCACCCGGUUUCACACCUAGGCUUGAGAGCUCAGUAUCUAGACUCCCUCAUUUCCUUAUCCCUUCAGCCUCUUAAAUCUGUCACCCCUUCUCCGUAGCCACCGUUUCAGCCAGACCUUUGCAUUCCAAACACAACUGAAAGUAGGAAGUGCCCUCUCAAAGGUGUGUCUGCUGAACCUCUGCUGAUACUUUCUUUGCGGCAAGUCAUCUGACUCGCUCCUCCAGAGACUCAGCCUUCUGCCCGCCGCCUGGAACCCUGGCAGAAACACCAUUAUGCAGAGUACCUAGAGGAGUGGCCAUGGGAAUUUGGCGGCAGAUGAGGGCCUGGAAGACAUCAGUUACCCUGAGGAGCCUGAAAAGAAGAAAAACGGCCCACCCUACAUGGACGCCUUUCUUGGAUCUUAGCCAGUUCAAGCCCCAACUCAGGAAAACCGUCCCUGAGCUCCCUUUCAUCUGCUUGCAUAGCACUGACCUCUUCACUGCAAAUAUUCAUUUGUGUGAUUCUGUUUUCUAAAAAUUCUAAUGGUAAAAACCAUAUCUGUUUUUGCUCA